CUUAUUGAUGGCUCAGCAAUAAAGUACUUUGCAAGUAUGCACAACAUUUCAACCCCUUAUGUAAUUAGUGCAUUAAUGCUUUACCCCAUGAAUAAUGUCCA
Molecule: non-coding RNA, 101 nt
Filed under: Callithrix jacchus (white-tufted-ear marmoset)
Lineage: Eukaryota; Metazoa; Chordata; Mammalia; Primates; Cebidae
Description: Mitochondrial DNA control region secondary structure A
Rfam family: Mitochondrial DNA control region secondary structure A
Source: Rfam by way of RNAcentral